CUCAGUAGUGUGUGUGAGUGUGUCUCAGUAGUGUGUGUGAGUGUGUCUCAGUAGUGUGUGUGAGUGUGUCUCAGUAGUGUGUGUGUGAGUGUGUCUCAGUAGUGUGUGUGAGUGUGUCUCAGUAGUGUGUGUGAGAGUGUCUCAUGUCUCAGUAGUGUGUGUGAGUGUGUCUCAGUAGUGUGUGUGAGUGUGUCUCAGUAGUGUGUGUGAGUGUGUCUCAGUAGUGUGUGUGAGUGUGUCUCAGUAGUGUGUGUGAGUGUGUCUCAGUAGUGUGUGUGAGUGUGUCUCAGUAGUGUGUGUGAGUGUGUCUCAGUAGUGUGUGUGAGAGUGUCUCAUGUCUCAGUAGUGUGUGUGAGAGUGUCUCAGUAGUGUGUGUGAGAGUGUCUCAGUAGUGUGUGUGAGAGUGUCUCAUGUCUCAGUAGUGUGUGUGAGAGUGUCUCAGUAGUUAAGUCCUAAACGGACCCUCAUA
This is a long non-coding RNA of Gasterosteus aculeatus aculeatus (three-spined stickleback), 469 nucleotides long. The record is from Ensembl. Lineage: Eukaryota; Metazoa; Chordata; Actinopteri; Perciformes; Gasterosteidae.